RNAcentral lists this long non-coding RNA (6472 nucleotides) under Homo sapiens (human). RNAcentral describes it as "HSALNT0300332". Lineage: Eukaryota; Metazoa; Chordata; Mammalia; Primates; Hominidae. The record is from RNAcentral.
CAACAACUGCAGUUCGGGGGAUAGACACAGAACGGUGGCCUCUCGUAUGUCCAAAGAACAGAGAAGUUUGGAGGUUUUAUGAAGAGGAGAAAUGCUGUGUAUUGUUUUGAAAUAAAGUUCCUUGGCACUAGUAAGGUUUUGGGGAUGCUGGCGAACACUGAUUUGUGGGUGAUGGUGUUAGAUUUCAGCAGGUUGUUCCAGUGGCUGUUAGAUAAAACUGGUUUCAGGUUACACCUGGCAGUUCCAGCAGCCAGGUCUGCAGAGAAUCGUAUGCUUGAAGGAACGUCUUGUGCCUCAAGCGCUUUACCCGCAACCUCUGGACUCUGUUUUAGUUGAGUGUGACAAGAAAGACCCAAGGCGUAUGAAGCUUUGACCCUGUUUUGUAAACUCCCUUUGAUGCGGUCAGAGUUCAUUUGGGGAAACUUCUGGGAAUAGUCAACACGGCCGGUUGGAAACGGAGGUGGAAUUCAGUGGUUACAGCAGAAGCCUGCACUCUAUCGUCCAGUGAGAGCAGCCCAGGGAUGGGCACUCAUGAAGGAGAGUGAUGCUGCCCACAGGAAGCAGGCCAGUGCUGAGCAGAGAGAACCACAAGAAAAGCAGACAGGUCUGCCCGCGUUUGAGCUGGUAUCACUUGCCCAGCAGGCAGGCAUGGGGUGACACAUGACUGGGCGAGCCACUCGCUGGGUGGGGCAUUCACACAGGUCAGCUCAAACCAGAUGGAGCCUGGGACUGUGACCAAGGAGCGAGUGAAGGUCAAAGCCACACAUGGGGCUGAGGGGCCAGGUGGCCGCCUUAUGAGAUCGAAGGCGGGAAGCUUUGGAACAGGGCAAAAAGGGGAGCCCAGGGUGAGGGGAGAGGGCCGAGCAGCUCGGAUCUCUGAUGGUGAGCUGUGCAGAGAUGGGGAAGCGCCUCUUUUCCUCUUUCAUGUGGGUGUCAGGGGGGGUCCAGGCCUGAGGGAGCCAAGCUGGAGGGUGCAGGGUUUCGCGUCUGCCUCGGAACUGGAUGUUUGAAAGCAAAGGUGAACGGCCCAGCAGGCCCGCUGGGGCACUGGGAGAACUGGUUUUUGCCAUUUUAGGAAUUGUUUGGCUUUGGCUUUUUUUCUCACUAAGAAAUUGGAAUCUGAAAGAGCCUUUCAGCUUAUUGUUGAAAAUCCAUCAGGACCUGAAAAUUAGAGACCGGGCCUGAGCUUUCAGCACAUUUAAACUCACGGGAGCGAGGUGGAAAAGCCACAGGAAGUGGAUGCACUAAUUUAGAAAAUAGGGAGAGGGAAGACAGCGCCUGUCCCCUCCCUGAUUGACCACAGGUAACCCCUGGUCUCUCUGUCUACUGAGGCUGAGUGGCCUGUUCUGGGUCUGACUACCCUACCCUGGGGCCUGACUCUGCCCCGCCCCUCGCAACACUCAACAAACGCUUGUGGAAGGAGUGAACAAAUGACAAGUCACGAAACCUAAAUACAGAGUCUUCAGCUUUGGAGGAGACUGAGGUGCGGGACAUGGAAAAGAAGGUCAUUCUCUUGGAGCCCCAACAAUGACCAGGAGAAAUUCAUUUGGCGGUAAAACCACACGAACCCUAUUACAUCACCAAGCCCUCACCGUUUCCAGCACCCAGGGUCUCUACAAAGAGGCAAGCUGGGACUGAAAUCUCUCCCGAGUGUGGAAGACGGACGGGAGCAGCAGCCGGACAGCACAGCUCAAGGCCGAGAGGCUCACUGGGUGACUCGGGCCGCUUUGGGGUGGCUGUGAGAAGCGAAGGGAGGCUGACUCGGGGUGUGGUGGGGAGUGAAGCCACCACCUUAUUGCCUAGGCCUUCCCUUGAUGCACUUGGAAAAUAAGUUGCUCUUUCUUCACCGGGUGGGGACAUUAAUUAAUGUUUGCAAAAGUCUUUAUGAUCCUUGUCAAAAGGUGUUCGGCCGGCUCUAAUUAUCCAGGUUUCAGCUGCCACCGCUUCCAUCUCAGCACAGCAUCUCUGCCCUGGAAGAUGUCAAACAAGAUUGCUGUUGUCAGGAUGUGCAUCCAGCUCAUGUGGAUUUCUAUCUGCAUCUCCAAAUACUGCCCAGAUUCCAAAGCCCUGCAAGGGGAUGGUAUCUUGUUUGGGGAGAUGAGACCUGUGCCCCGCCCAGCUCCACCCCGUAAGAAGGCAGCUGCCUGGGAGGUAUAAUUUGAUAAGUUUCUGGAAGGACUCACACAUCCAAAACCAACUCCCCAUGUCUUCUCAUGGGGGCCGGAAAUUCCUCCACUAAAAAUUCACUCCUUCACGGGUCUUCGAUGCUUUCUCAAGUAGUCUAGGACACGGUGGUGGAGGGAGAACCAGCCCAGGAGCCAGGCAGCCUAGCCCUGGGUUUCCUCCUUGUGUGGGUGCUGGCUCUGCCCUUACCGGCCUGGUGACCUGGAUAAACUCAUUCUCUUUCUUUCUCAUUUUUUCCACCUAAAAUGGCAACGCUAAUGCCUGUCUCACGUGCUGUCGUGCAGAUUAGAUGAGAUAAUGGAUGUGAACGCCAAGUGUUGCAGAGACGUAAGCGGCAUUAUCGUUACUGAAAUGUCCCAGCCAGAUCAUCCCCAGGAGGGAUUAAUGGCCCACCAGGACAGGUGGGCACCUGGGGUGGUCGGAAGAGCCAGGAGAACCACAGCAGGGAAAAAGACUUCAGGAAAGGAAAGGAGAGAGACCCCACCGCUGGCACAACCACAGAAGUUUUGGGGAUGAGGAGGGGCUCUAGAUAUUUCCCCACUUCCCCAGACAGCCGUGUGCCCUUACAGGGGAACUGAAGCUGCCCACCCGGCUCAGGCCUGACCCCCCAGGUACCUGCUGCCCCAGGUGUGCGGGAGGAGGGUGAUGGCAGACGGACACCCACCUGGUGAAAGAGCCAGUCAGAAAAAUAACUGAGCGUGCCUGGGUGCAUGCAGACACAUCCCCAGGUAAUUUAGACAAAAAGGCCCCGUGUUGGCACGAGUAGCCCAUGGAUGUCAGACCAGAGUAAUUGCUUUCUUUGUCAGAAUUUCCUGCAUAAUUUCCUCUCCUUUGUUUAGCUGAGAGAACCUGGCCUUGCAUCUGGGAGUCUGCUUGCCAAACAUGAUUGGGUUCUUAGAGAUGAAAGACACAGAGUGAGCUAUUUUCCAUAAACACACUGGCACAUGUGUUAAUUACUGCAAGGAGAAAACCAGCCCCCAUGUUUCACGUGGGAGGUGCGUGGUGCUGUGGGGGGAGCGAUGGGUGGAGGGAGGACACCCUUCAGGAUCACAGUAGCUACUUCUCACCAGGACACUGCUGCCAUCCAGCCUUUGUUCUGGGCAUUUUGCGUUAAAAAUCUCAUUUAAUCUUCACAACAGGCCUGUGAGGCAGAAUCCAGGAAUGGAAAGAACUCGGGUUUAGAAGCCAAACAUUGCUGGAUUUAGUUCUGUCCUCAGCCACUUACUGAGUGAACGGGGCAAGCUACUUGCUUACUGGAGCUUCAGUUUUCCCGUCUGUUAAAUGGAAAUAAUACUGGCUUCAGUGUGUUGUGAGAAUUCCCUAUAGUAAUGACUGUGAAACAGCUGAAACCCUGCAGGCAGGUGGUAAAUGAUAGCUCUCGUGUUGCCCUUUAUGGAUAAGGAUGCAAGAAGUUUAGGAUGGUUGGCCAAUGCCACACUGCUGGUCAGCAGCAGAGCUAGGUCCGUCUCCCUGCCAAAGGCAGGCAUUUUGCUCAGAGGCCACCAAACCCAUACCCUUGGUGGCCAACAUGGCAGCGGCCGGAUCGGAGUCUCCCCCCAGUACUUUGUAAGCCCAUUGAGGGUAAGACUAUGCAUCAGAUCUCUUGGCAUCCUUGGUAUCCUUGGCAGGUCUCUUGGUAUCCUUGGCAUCCUCUCUCACAGUGCCGUAAAUGUUCCUUAAAUGGAUGAAAGCAUUCAGGAGCACCUAGAAUAGAUUGAGCAGAUAACCGCAUAACAGGUGUCCACUGUGUGCAUAUAACUUCAGCCUCUUCUGCGUUGUUGGGACAUGAAGUCCCUUCGCUUUGCAUGGAAAAUAGUCUAGGCACCCCCUGGCUGACUUGCCACGAUGCCUGUCCUCAGGACAGGAAGAAGGAUGGGCCCAAGGAGGAGAAUUGCGUCAGAGGUCAAGAAAUGAACUCCAGCAGAAGUAGCACAAACAGGGAACCCAUAAGGAAGCUUGUGAUGAACAAACAUAGGGCAGAUGAAGUGGAAUAUUGGAUGGAAACACACCUUGAAAAUGCACAGACCUGUGGCAAGGGAAGGGAUCACUGCUUAGAUCAAUAGCAGGGCCUUGGACCAUGGUUAGGGGGAUGCUUGUUAGUGCUUCCCUGGGCUGCAGGGAGCCACGGAAAACAGGCCAGGGCAGGAGACCGGCCAGUGACUCACACGGCGGAACACAGGUUUAGAGGAGCAAAAUCUGAAGGGCCCCUCUCCUUCUCCCCACCUGUUUUCUGUCACGUGCUCUGGACCUGAGCCCACAGUGGGGCAGCUCCCUCGGCCUCCAGUGGAAGGCGGAAGCACUUGACAAAAAGCCUCCAGUUAACCGGGGCAAGCAGCAGGGUGGGGCUCAGGCCUUCUGGCCAAGUCCUUGUCUCCCUCGAGUCUCCAGCUUUCUCCUGAGAGGCAAAGCCCUCGCCAGGCAGGCUUUAAUAAGCAGUAGUGCCCUGCACCCCUGCCCAAGUCCCCGGACCCCAUGCUGGCAGGCUACUGCAGCCCCUAUCUUGCCUGGCACAUGGCACAUGGGGUGUCUUGGCAUGUGGGGUGGUGCUGUAUGCCUGUAGUCACAGACUGGCACUCACUGCAAGAGCUUCCAAUGUGUGAGAGCUGAGGCUAGAGUUCCUUGCUGCCUGUGAAGAUGGUGCUGUGACCGGAGCAGGCCUCAUAAUGAGCCGGUGAUUUCAUCCCCUCCAGACAGAAGACAAAGUCUGUGCCUUCUGGGCAAAACAUUAGCUGACCCGUGACACUGCUCAGACCCCAGAGGCCUGGCUCCCGGCCUGCCGGGAGCAGUCACUCCAAACAGCUGCGGCUGUGAGGCCUUCAGAGAGUGGCUAAUUAGGGUCUCACCUGGCCAGCUCCAAUCUGCAACCACAAGCUCGAGGCCCAGCUGCCUCUCCCCAGUGCCUCUGGGGCUCCGCUGCCUCCCUCACAGAUGGCGAGUGACUUCCUUGAUCUGUAUAAACAAGAAUUCUGCCUUAUUCAAACAGCAAUGAUAGAUUGGAGGAUCUACUAUGUACAACACACUGUGCUUGCAUCCAAUGGUAGAGUUAGAAAAAAAAAUGUGAUGUCCUGUGAUGUUAAGAAGUGAAGAACCCCAUGGGGAGGUAGCAGAAAACAUCCAACAGUGAGUGGCAACAGGUGUGCUGGUCACCGAGGGCUUCUUGGGCAAGGUCAUUCAUGAACUGGGUCUUGCAGCACAGAUGUGCUGGGAGUGGAAGAGGACACAGUUAGAUGCCACUUUAUCCUCACUAUAGUGGCACAAAUGGAGAAGGCUGAUGAUGCUGUGUGCUGGGGAAGAGGUGGGUGUGUAGGUUGUCUACCUGUUGGCCGUGGGAGUGUAAAUGAGUCACCCACUCAGGAAAAUAGCUGAACAACCCCCAGGGGUACAUUCCUGUACACCACCACCCAGCAAUUCCACUCGUAGGUAUACACUUCAGAAAACUCUUACACAAAAAUAUUCACAGCAGGACUGUUCAAACGCCCACCAACAGAAGAAUGGAUAAACAGGUGUGUUCACACCAUGGAGUAUCAGACAGCGUCCAAAGAGAGGAAUUACGGCCACCCUAGCAAUAUGGACAAUGCUUAUCAACUUACUACUAAGUGAGAAAAGUAAGUCCCAAAAGAGUACAAACAGCAUGACACCCUCUCAAAGAAGGCAAAGAGAUGUCAAAUAUAAUAUACACAUUUUAGGACUCCAAGGAAUAGGUAAGAUGAGAGGACAGGAUAGGAAAAUAGGCCAGGAGCUGUGGCUCAUGCCUGGAAUCCCAGCACUUAGGUAGGCCGAGGCAGUUAGAUCACUUGAGCCCAGGAGUUCAAGACCACCCUGGACAAUAUAGCGAAACCUCGUCUCUACAAAAAAUACAAAAAUUAGCCAGGUGUGCUGGCAUGUGCCUGAAGUCCCAGCUACUUAGGAGGCUGAAGCGAGAGGAUUGCUUGAGCCUGGAAGGUCAAGGCUGCAGUGAGCUGUGAUCGUGCCACUGCACUCCAGCCUGGGUAAUAGAGAAAGAUCCUGUCUCAAAAAAAAAAGGAAAACACAGAAAGGAGGCACACAGGAUUCGGGGUGACAGCUAUCUUGGGAUAGCUCCCUGCAGCCCAGGGAAGCACUAGGGAGGGAAUGGGAUGGGGUAGGCCACACAGCUGAUGUCAGCUCUUGCUAAGGCCCAGCUUUCAGGCUGGGUGGUGGUUUCACAGGUGACUAUUCUGUUACUUUAAAAUGUGAUCUAUUAGCACAGCUAGGGACGUAGGACUAUGCCUGUAAUAGCAAAAGUAAUAAAAUGCAUCAAAGCCCAGGA